UGCAAGUGGAGAUAACUUUUCUCCUCCAAGUGAGAAUAGCGUUAUAUUCUCAACUUCAUUGCUUAAUAUCCUGGAAGACUAAAUUUGGAAUAAUGAGCAACGAAGUCAUAGUAAUUCCUCGAUUAGAGAAAUACCAAGUUCAUGCAUGAAUUACUUUUAAUUGAAUUAAUGUCUUAUAGUAUGUUUUGUGAUUAUUAAAAUGGGUGAAAGCUCCUUCGUUUGUGUCAAAGAAAUCUUUUCCACUUACUAUGAAUAAGAUUAACAAAUAAUCAAACUGAAAGCAGGAAAUAUGGUAAAGCCAUUUUAAAGUUUAAUAGACAAAAGGGACUUUUACAUGAGAAGAUUUUUUUUUUAUUUUCGUCUCUCUUGAUUUUGAACAAAUAACAAAUUUAGCAAAAAAAUGCAUAAAAAAAUCAAUGUUCCAAGAGUCUCUGUCAGAGUAGCGCAUUAUUAUGUCAAGCAAAGCACUGUGUCAAUAUUCAUAUUAAGUGGAAUAGAAAUGCAUGCAUAUUAAUAUAUCCCAAAGUAAUUUCUGUCUAUUUCUGGUUGCGACACUAACUUUUUCCAUAAUUCUUCCUAUGUUUGUGAGAUAAUGUAAACAUUUGCGAGAUAAAGUUUGCGUUAUCCCUCAAAGGUUUGCGGUAUCUCGCAAAGGUUUGUGUUAUAACUCAAAAUUUGAAUUAUCUCACAAAAGUGUGCAAUAUAACGCAAACAUAGGAAGAAAUGUUAAAAAAAAGUUUGUGUGUAAUACGCCUCCAUAGGAACUGGUACUUUCAUGCAUUUAGUUUUUUAUUAUUAUUUUUUUUAAUUAAGGAGAUUUUCGUUGUUAGGGGAUAGGAUAUCUAUUUGGCUGAUUUUACCUUGUAUAAUCCACAGAUCCAAAAUAUGAUAUUUGUUUGUCUCUAUUGGUUGUUCCUCUAUUUUCUCAGAUAAGAUUGUUUGUCUCUAUUGGUUGUUCCUCUAUUGUCUCAGAUAAGAUUGUUUGUCUCUAUUGGUUGUUCCUUUAUUUUCCCAGAUAAGGUUGUUUGUCUCUAUUGGUUGUUCCUCUAUUUUCUCAGAUAAGGAUGUUUGUCUCUAUUGGUUGCUCCUCUAUUGUCUCAGAUAAGGUUGUUUGUCUCUAUUGGUUGUUCCUCUAUUGUUUUUUCUCAGAUAAGGUUGUUUGUCUCUAUUGGUUGCUCCUCUAUUGUCUGUGAUAAGGUUGUUUGUCUCUAUUGGUUGCUCCUCUAUUGUCUGUGAUAAGGUUGUUUGUCUCUAUUGGUUGUUCCUCUAUUUUCUCAGAUAAAGUUGUUUGUCUCUAUUGGUUGUUCCUCUAUUUUCUCAGAUAAGGUUGUUUGUCUCUAUUGGUUGCUCCUCUAUUGUCUCAGAUAAGGAUGUUUGUCUCUAUUGGUUGCUCCUCUAUUGUCUCAGAUAAGGUUGUUUGUCUCUAUUGGUUGUUCCUCUAUUUUCUCAGAUAAGGUUGUUUGUCUCUAUUGGUUGUUCCUCUAUUUUCUCAGAUAAGGUUGUUUGUCUCUAUUGGUUGCUCCUCUAUUUUCUCAGAUAAGGAUAUUUGUCUCUAUUGGUUGAUCCUCUAUUGUCUCAGAUAAGGUUGUUUGUCUCUAUUGGUUGUUCCUCUAUUGUCUUUUCUCAUAUAAGGUUGUUUGUCUCUAUUGGUUGCUCCUCUAUUGUCUGUGAUAAGAUUGUUUGUCUCUAUUGGUUGCUACUCUAUUGUCUAUGAUAAGGUUGUUUGUCUCUAUUGGUUGUUCCUCUAUUAUCUCAGAUAAAGUUGUUUGUCUCUAUUGGUUGUUCCUCUAUUUUCUCAGAUAAGGUUGUUUGUCUCUAUUGGUUGUGCCUCUAUUUUCUCAGAUAAGGUUGUUUGUCUCUAUUGGUUGUUCCUCUGUUUUCUCAGAUGAAGUUGUUUGUUUCUAUUGGUUGUUCCCCUAUUUUCUCAGAUAAGGUUGUUUGUCUCUAUUGGUUGUUCCUCUAUUUUCUCAGACAAUGUUGUUUGUCUCUAUUGGUUGUUCCUCUAUUGUCUCAGAUAAGGUUGUUUGUCUCUAUUGGUGGUUCCUCUAUUGUCUCAGAUAAGGUUGUUUGUCUCUAUUGGUUGCUCCCCUAUUGUCUCAGAUAAGGUUGUUUGUCUCUAUUGGUUGUUCCUCUAUUGUCUCAGAUAAAGUUGUUUGUCUCUAUUGGUUGUUCCUCUGUUGUCUUUUCUCAGAUAAGAUUGUUUGUCUCUAUUGGUUGCUCCUCUAUUGUCUGUGAUUAGGUUGUUUGUCUCUAUUGGUUAUUCCUCUAUUUUCUCAGAUAAAGUUGUUUGUCUCUAUUGGUUGUUCCUCUAUUUUCUCAGAUAAGAUUGUUUGUCUCUAUUGGUUGUUCCUCUAUUGUCUCAGAUAAAGUUGUUUGUCUCUAUUGGUUGUUCCUCUAUUGUCUCAGAUAAGGUUGUUUGUCUCUAUUGGUUGUUCCUCUUUUGUCUCAGAUAAAGUUGUUUGUUUCUAUUGUUUGUUCCUCUAUUUUCUCAGAUGAGGUUGUUUGUCUCUAUUGGUUGUUCCUCUAUUUUCUCAGAUGAGUCGGUUUGGUGGUAAUUGGUGUGAUCUGUUGUCCCGUCCACUUUUUUAAAGUUAUUCCUGUUAACCUUUUUAUGUAUUAUUAAUAUUACUGAUAUCAUUUUACAGUAAGAAGGGUUUAUUUCAGAUUAAGACGACAUAAGUUUACGUAUGUUCAGACCGGGUGCGUCGACAGUGUAAGCGUUUUCUGCUAAGUAUGCAGAACGACACUCAUAUAUUUAUAAGUCGAAACUGCAUUCAAUAGUAGUUAAAUCAAAAUGGUAAAAUAUAUAAAUUAUAACAUGUAAUUUUAUGCUCAAGAUAAGACUUAUGUUCUUCGGAUGUUUUAAAGGGGCAUUAGCUACGAGAUAUGAAAAAAAUUAGAAUAUGAUUUUGUUUGAUUCAAUCAUUAAUUAAAGUGAAAUAAUGAAAUAAUUAUUCGCUUUUAGUAGCCAAUUUGGUUCAAUUUUGUCAAAAAUUCAAAGAAACAUCGCUGAUGAAUUAUUCACUUGCAAGUGAAUAAUUCGACCUCAUUGAAUCCGUAUUCAUGUGACCUUCAAUUUAACCAAUUCGCUAGAGAUUGGUUACUAUAAAUAAGAAGAUGUGGUAUGAGUGCCAAUGAGACAAAUCUCCAUCCAAGUCACAAUGUAUAAAAAGUAAACAAUUUUAGGUUAACGUACGGCCUUCGCAUGUAUUAGUCGUGUUCAGCCAUUAAAGGGAAAAGAAUGUCAACAUUGAAAGUGAAACAAAGGUGCAUUUCGUUGACUGAUUCGAUCCACAAAAAAAUCAUUCUUAUACAGGUAAAAACGACAAUUAACUUAUUUUUUUAACGUAUAAAAUGAAAUCAAACAGACCUAAAAUCCAAUUGCAUGAGGUCGCUAUCUUUUUUUAUUUAUGUUUAUGUUUAUAUCGGGUUAUGUGACCGUCGGCAGUCUUCGGAGGUCAUCUCGAUAGUUAAUUAGAUGGCGUCUAGACUAAAAUACACACGAAAUUCUGAUGUGUAUUAUCGAGUACAUGCAUUGUUAACUGUUUAUUUCAGACUUAUUGUAAUUUGGAUAUACUUUUCAGUAUGUUAUAAAUCAAAUAUGAGAAUUUGAGUCAAAUCGGUGAACAUGAAUUUGACAGCUAAUGCCCCUUUAAUAAUGGAAGUAUCACUUAUUGUCUUUUUGGUUUUUUUUGUUUCUGUAGAUAUUCUUAAUACCAUAAAACUUUUUUAAAAAGCGUGUUGUUAAUUAGAGCAGAUGAAUAGAGAGGAAAACAAUGGUGUUUUAUUAAAGAUUAAAAUCUACAAAGGUUUAUGCACCAGAUGCACAUUUCAAUUUCAACGGAUAAUCUUUAUAUGAAAUGAACGUUAGAGAACCGAACCAAACGGAAAUGAAUGAUAAAGUAGAGGCAAAUCCUGUUGAGAAAUUACUGACGGAUGUGCGAUCCUUUAUCGACAAAUUGAAUAUCUUAAUUCUGUCACUUAAAUGACAUACAAUUAUAUCUGCAUGUUAAUGCAAGAACGAAUGUUUAAAACUACUGAGCAGUACUUAAUAUCAGAAACUAACAGUCCACAAGGAAUGCUAACGACCCAGUGACAAUGAUUGUUAAAUGGCACGAAUUCAUCGCACUAGACGCGAAUUUAGCUAGUGAUGUUCGAGGCCACUUUUUUUGUGAAUCCGAAACCAUCAUAAUUGAAGAUAUUAACCAAAUCAUGAAAUGCAGCUAACAAAAAUGGGAAAACUGCAUUAACACAAAUUUUAAUGUUUAUGGUGAUACUUGAGACUGAUAAAUUUUCGAAAUUCUAUAUCGCUAUUACAAAUUUAAAUGUCGACUCAGAUGUCAUCUUUCGAAAUACACCACUGUUACGGAUAAAAAUCCAUUAUAAAGUAUGAAUGUAAUGAUUAAUAGCUUUUAUUCACAAACCUCACCCAUAUAAGCAUACAUUAUAUCUAUGAGCUUUUAAUUUCUGUAAAAAAGCAUUACCUUGAAUUACUUGCUUUCUUUCAGUGACACAAGUUUUAAACUGUUGGAGUUCUAACAGAAUAAUAAAACGCACAACAAUUUUCUGUUUAUUUUAUCGGCAGUUAAUUAUUUUUAUGCAUGAAAUUAGAUAUUUAUUCGUUUAGUGGAUUUGUGUGUGCGUUCAAGUUCAUGUGCAAGGCAUUUGAUUAUUUAGACAGUUGGUUCUUGAUUUGCAUUUGUUAAGUAUUAAGAUAAUUAUUAACGAUCGGUUCUGAAGAGGGAUCAUUAUUUUUCUACCCCAGGUAACUUGAUAUAAGGUUGAAAACUGAAGGCUGUGUUUUUUCAAAUAUUAUAAAACAUCUGAAUAUUAUUCAAAUAAUUUACAUCACCACAAAAUCUGCUGAAAAUUUAUUUGAGUUUGAAGUUAGUUUUACUUAUGCUAUGACAAACAAAGUCAAAAAUCAAAUAAAUUCAUACUACAGAAUUUUACUGCAACUGAUAUUUAUCAUUGAAAGUAAAUGUAUCAUAACUAGUGAGCUACACAAAGGCAAAUAUGCAAAGAAAUGUUCAAACAAACCAUUAACCCAAAAUCUGAAAGUUUGCAUGUCUUUAAGUAUAUUUUGUAAAUAUAUUUGUCCACCUAAUUAUUUUCUUUCUCCCUUUCAACAUUUGUAAUGGUCUUUGUGAGGAGCAGUAGUUUUCUGAUGUUUAAAAACCUUAAAUUGAAAAAAAAAAGAAAACAAAAAGGCUAAAAGAAAACGCACGGAAAGGCUGCAUAUAAUCUAUUUUAGACGUGUUAAGAUAUACAAUUUUCAUAGUUUGUUACAUGUAGUUGUAAAGUUGUAAUUUAUAAAUAUAAAUGAGCAAAUCAAGUUAUUCGCCUGAAUAACAUACACUGUGGUGAACACACACACAAUAAGCAUGGCCAUCCUUGCAGUUCAAAACCCCCUGCAAAGUAAUUCACAGCAUACAACCUAUGAUGAAAAUUUGAAGCAUCGCUUUUGCUGCUAGUUUUAUCAGGAGAUCUGCAGUACCCGGUCUUCGAUUUAUUGUGUGUUUUGAACAUUUGGUCAUGUUGUUUUAUAACCUGUUUACAGUUUGUGAUUAGCCCUUGUUAAACUUGACUUUUCGAACUAUUGACUCAAUUGAUCCAAUAUUUGUGUAUCUAAUAUAAACUUAAUUUAUAUACAUGUAUCAUUGUUUAAUCAUAUAGAUUUAGUUUUUUACGCCAAAGUAGAAUACUUAUGAUGCAUUAGCAGACAAUUAAGUCAUUCAGCGAAAAAUACCGUGGGUUGCUUUUCACUUAGAAUAAGAUAAAUCGUUGAAAAUUUUAUGAACUGAUGGUUUUUUUUUAGGGGAGUUAUUUUAGUUUAAAAGAAAAAAAACUUAUUUUCUGGUAUGAUGCCUUUGAGAAUAAGUAUUUAGCAAUGUUGAUAUGAAUAAAAAAAAAAACAUAUGUGGGGUAUACCCAAAUGAGACAGCAACAAGAUAACUCAUAAAACCUAAGUAGUUUAUCAGGCCAACAUAUGGUCUUCCGCAAUGUAUAAGUGUCUAUACAAUAAGUCCAGAUCCAGCUCGCCCAGAGUCUAGAAACGUUAUCUGAUAAGCAUUUGUGAUAAAAUCUCCGUAUUGGUUUUGAGAUAACAAGACUUGGUAAAAAGGGAUAUCCAUUAACAUAUGCAUACAGUUAGAUGUGAGUUUAUCCAAUCGUUGUUCUUAUUUUUUCUGCAAUCCAGACAUAUGUUAGACUGAGUUUUAUUUAGUUUUAAUGUAUAUAGAUUGAUGUAUUUUGUAGUUUUCUGCUAUGAAUCAUAACAGGAUUAAGAAUAUAUAUUACUGUCUCCCGCAUUAUUUUAAGAACAAGUGAAUGAUGGUUAAAUGACUUAUCAGUCUCAAUUUUGAAUUCUUAUUCAUUUUUACCGGAUUCUAAAUGUUAAACUGUUCAACCUUGUAAAUUUAUAUUAGAGGAAUGAGUCAGAAAAAAGUAAUGAAAUUCAACUCAUACAAGCUAUAACAUAUUUUUAUACAACAUUGUUACUUUGCAUUCAAAAACGAUUUCACAAAUAGUAUGGUGAAAAUUAACGGUAUAUUAGUAUGGAAGUUUUAACACAAUUUCUUGUGUCUUUCAA
This is a long non-coding RNA of Mytilus californianus (California mussel), 6592 nucleotides long. RefSeq lists it as uncharacterized. NCBI's taxonomy places the organism in Eukaryota, Metazoa, Mollusca, Bivalvia, Mytilida, Mytilidae. The record is from RefSeq and is a predicted model, not a curated record. The transcript is spliced from 3 exons.